Molecule: unclassified non-coding RNA, 617 nt
Filed under: uncultured bacterium
Lineage: Bacteria
Description: partial contains 16S ribosomal RNA, 16S-23S ribosomal RNA intergenic spacer, and 23S ribosomal RNA
Rfam family: Bacterial large subunit ribosomal RNA (bases 486-617)
Source: RNAcentral
UGCGGCUGGAUCCCCUCCUUAAAUAAAGGCACCAAGAGAAUCAAAGUGCCCACACAGUUUGUUUUCAGUCAGAGCCGCGACCGUAAGGGAGCGGACAUGAAGAGUAAAGCAAAAUUUGCGAAGAUUAUUGUUUUAAUCGAGGCAUGAGCGCGAAAGAGAGAAGGAGCAUACAUCAGUAUGCGACUGAAGGAGAGAGUGCUCAUAACGAAGAGUAAAACAAAAAGCUGAAGUAAAUUUAGGGGUCGUAGCUCAGCUGGGAGAGCACCUGCCUUGCACGCAGGGGGUCAGGAGUUCGAUCCUCCUCGGCUCCACCAAAUACACUCUUCAAGGACUAAUCAGAUUAAAAGGCUUUAAAAUAAAGAGUUUUUUAAUCUGGCUAGACCAGGCGCGUUCAUUAAAAAUUAGGUAAGAAAUGAGGUAACACAAGCGAGCUCGUAUUUGAUAUUUGUGAGAACAGUAUGACUUUGAGUUAAUUGAGGUUAUAUGGUCAAGAAGAGAAGCGCAAACGGUGGAUGCCUAGGCAGUAAGAGGCGAAGAAGGACGUGGAAUUCUGCGAAAAGCUUUGGGGAGCUGAAAACAUGCUAUGAUCCAAAGAUGUCCGAAUGGGGGAAACCCGG